CAGAUGACGCGCGGCGUGCUUAACACUGCAAGUCGACGAUGAAGCCUCGGGUGGAUUAGUGGCGAACGGGUGAGUAACACGUGAGCAACUGCCCUUGACUCUGGGAUAAGCUGGGAAACUGGGUCUAAUACCGGAUAGUACCCUCUGCCGCAUGGUGGGGGGUGGAAAGCCUUGUGCGGUCUGGAUGGGCUCGCGGCCUAUCAGCUUGUUGGUGGGGUGAUGGCCUACCAAGGCGACGACGGGUAGCCGGCCUGAGAGGGUGACCGGCCACACUGGGACUGAGACACGGCCCAGACUCCUACGGGAGGCAGCAGUGGGGAAUAUUGCACAAUGGGCGCAAGCCUGAUGCAGCGACGCCGCGUGGGGGAUGACGGCCUUCGGGUUGUAAACCCCUUUCGGCAGGGAACAAGCCGCUUCGGUGGUGAGGGUACCUGCGGAAGAAGCGCCGGCUAACUACGUGCCAGCAGCCGCGGUAAUACGUAGGGCGCGAGCGUUAUCCGGAAUUAUUGGGCGUAAAGAGCUCGUAGGCGGUUUGUCGCGUCUGCUGUGAAAGCCCGGGGCUCAACCCCGGGUCUGCAGUGGGUACGGGCAGGCUGGAGUGCAGUAGGGGAGACUGGAAUUCCUGGUGUAGCGGUGAAAUGCGCAGAUAUCAGGAGGAACACCGAUGGCGAAGGCAGGUCUCUGGGCUGUAACUGACGCUGAGGAGCGAAAGCAUGGGGAGCGAACAGGAUUAGAUACCCUGGUAGUCCAUGCCGUAAACGUUGGGCACUAGGUGUGGGGGCCAUUCCACGGUUUCCGCGCCGCAGCUAACGCAUUAAGUGCCCCGCCUGGGGAGUACGGCCGCAAGGCUAAAACUCAAAGGAAUUGACGGGGGCCCGCACAAGCGGCGGAGCAUGCGGAUUAAUUCGAUGCAACGCGAAGAACCUUACCAAGGCUUGACAUGUGCCGGACCGUCCCAGAGAUGGGGCUUCCCUUCGGGGCCGGUCACAGGU
Molecule: ribosomal RNA, 992 nt
Filed under: Sinomonas flava
Lineage: Bacteria; Bacillati; Actinomycetota; Actinomycetes; Micrococcales; Micrococcaceae
Description: bacterial SSU rRNA
Rfam family: Bacterial small subunit ribosomal RNA
Source: RNAcentral